GAGUUUGAUCAUGGCUCAGAUUGAACGCUGGCGGAAUGCUUUACACAUGCAAGUCGAACGGCAGCACGGGGGCAACCCUGGUGGCGAGUGGCGAACGGGUGAGUAAUACAUCGGAACGUGCCCAGUCGUGGGGGAUAACUACGCGAAAGCGUAGCUAAUACCGCAUACGAUCUACGGAUGAAAGCGGGGGAUCGCAAGACCUCGCGCGAUUGGAGCGGCCGAUGGCAGAUUAGGUAGUUGGUGGGGUAAAGGCUCACCAAGCCGACGAUCUGUAGCUGGUCUGAGAGGACGACCAGCCACACUGGGACUGAGACACGGCCCAGACUCCUACGGGAGGCAGCAGUGGGGAAUUUUGGACAAUGGGCGCAAGCCUGAUCCAGCCAUUCCGCGUGCAGGAUGAAGGCCCUCGGGUUGUAAACUGCUUUUGUACGGACGAAACGCGCUGAGCUAAUACCUCGGCGUAAUGACGGUACCGUAAGAAUAAGCACCGGCUAACUACGUGCCAGCAG
RNAcentral lists this ribosomal RNA (509 nucleotides) under uncultured beta proteobacterium. RNAcentral's name for it is "bacterial SSU rRNA". It matches the Rfam family "Bacterial small subunit ribosomal RNA", at positions 9 to 514 of the family's 1533-position model. Lineage: Bacteria; Pseudomonadati; Pseudomonadota; Betaproteobacteria. The record is from RNAcentral.